GAUGAACGCUGGCGGCGUGCCUAAUACAUGCAAGUCGAACGAAACUUCUUUAUCACCGAGUGCUUGCACUCACCGAUAAAGAGUUGAGUGGCGAACGGGUGAGUAACACGUGGGCAGCCUGCCCAAAAGAGGGGGAUAACACUUGGAAACAGGUGCUAAUACCGCAUAACCAUAGUUACCGCAUGGUAACUAUGUAAAAGGUGGCUAUACUACCGCUUUUGGAUGGGCCCGCGGCGCAUUAGCUAGUUGGUAGGGUAAAGGCUUACCAAGGCAAUGAUGCGUAGCCGAAUUGAGAGGUUGAUCGGCCACAUUGGGACUGAGACACGGCCCAAACUCCUACGGGAGGCAGCAGUAGGGAAUCUUCCACAAUGGGCGAAAGCCUGAUGGAGCAACGCCGCGUGGGUGAAGAAGGUCUUCGGAUCGUAAAACCCUGUUGUUAGAGAAGAAAGUGCGUGAGAGUAACUGUUCACGUUUCGACGGUAUCUAACCAGAAAGCCACGGCUAACUACGU
Molecule: ribosomal RNA, 511 nt
Filed under: uncultured bacterium
Lineage: Bacteria
Description: partial 16S ribosomal RNA
Rfam family: Bacterial small subunit ribosomal RNA
Source: RNAcentral